RNAcentral lists this ribosomal RNA (468 nucleotides) under uncultured bacterium. RNAcentral describes it as "partial 16S ribosomal RNA". It matches the Rfam family "Bacterial small subunit ribosomal RNA", at positions 28 to 507 of the family's 1533-position model. The record is from RNAcentral.
GACGAACGCUGGCGGCGUGCUUAACACAUGCAAGUCGAACGGAAAGGCCCUGCUUUUGUGGGGUGCUCGAGUGGCGAACGGGUGAGUAACACGUGAGUAACCUGCCCUUGACUUUGGGAUAACUUCAGGAAACUGGGGCUAAUACCGGAUAGGAGCUCCUGCUGCAUGGUGGGGGUUGGAAAGUUUCGGCGGUUGGGGAUGGACUCGCGGCUUAUCAGCUUGUUGGUGGGGUAGUGGCUUACCAAGGCUUUGACGGGUAGCCGGCCUGAGAGGGUGACCGGCCACAUUGGGACCUGGGUUCGGCCCAGACUCCUACGGGAGGCAGCAGUGGGGAAUAUUGCACAAUGGGCGGAAGCCUGAUGCAGCAACGCCGCGUGCGGGAUGACGGCCUUCGGGUUGUAAACCGCUUUCGCCUGUGACGAAGCGUGAGUGACGGUAAUGGGUAAAGAAGCACCGGCUAACUACGUG